GACGAACUCUUCGGAGUUAGUGGCGGACGGGUGAGUAACACGUGGGAACGUGCCUUUAGGUUCGGAAUAACUCAGGGAAACUUGUGCUAAUACCGAAUGUGCCCUUCGGGGGAAAGAUUUAUCGCCUUUAGAGCGGCCCGCGUCUGAUUAGCUAGUUGGUGAGGUAAAGGCUCACCAAGGCGACGAUCAGUAGCUGGUCUGAGAGGAUGAUCAGCCACAUUGGGACUGAGACACGGCCCAAACUCCUACGGGAGGCAGCAGUGGGGAAUCUUGCGCAAUGGGCGAAAGCCUGACGCAGCCAUGCCGCGUGAAUGAUGAAGGUCUUAGGAUUGUAAAAUUCUUUCACCGGGGACGAUAAUGACGGUACCCGGAGAAGAAGCCCCGGCUAACUUCGUGCCAGCAGCCGCGGUAAUACGAAGGGGGCUAGCGUUGCUCGGAAUUACUGGGCGUAAAGGGAGCGUAGGCGGACAUUUAAGUCAGGGGUGAAAUCCCGGGGCUCAACCUCGGAAUUGCCUUUGAUACUGGGUGUCUUGAGUAUGAGAGAGGUGUGUGGAACUCCGAGUGUAGAGGUGAAAUUCGUAGAUAUUCGGAAGAACACCAGUGGCGAAGGCGACACACUGGCUCAUUACUGACGCUGAGGCUCGAAAGCGUGGGGAGCAAACAGGAUUAGAUACCCUGGUAGUCCACGCCGU
This 692-nucleotide ribosomal RNA is filed under the name Brevundimonas vesicularis. Its description in RNAcentral is "bacterial SSU rRNA". It matches the Rfam family "Bacterial small subunit ribosomal RNA", at positions 65 to 803 of the family's 1533-position model. Lineage: Bacteria; Pseudomonadati; Pseudomonadota; Alphaproteobacteria; Caulobacterales; Caulobacteraceae. The record is from RNAcentral.